RNAcentral lists this ribosomal RNA (496 nucleotides) under uncultured soil bacterium. Its description in RNAcentral is "bacterial SSU rRNA". It matches the Rfam family "Bacterial small subunit ribosomal RNA", at positions 26 to 525 of the family's 1533-position model. The record is from RNAcentral.
AGAUUGAACGCUGGCGGCAUGCCUUACACAUGCAAGUCGAACGGUAGAGUAGCAAUACUUGAGAGUGGCGAACGGGUGAGUAAUAUAUCGGAACGUGCCCAGUCGUGGGGGAUAACGUAGAGAAAUUUACGCUAAUACCGCAUACGAUCUAAGGAUGAAAGCGGGGGACCGUAAGGCCUCGCGCGAUUGGAGCGGCUGAUAUCAGAUUAGGUUGUUGGUGAGGUAAAAGCUCACCAAGCCGACGAUCUGUAGCUGGUUUGAGAGAACGACCAGCCACACUGGGACUGAGACACGGCCCAGACUCCUACGGGAGGCAGCAGUGGGGAAUUUGGACAAUGGGCGAAAGCCUGAUCCAGCAAUGCCGCGUGCAGGAAGAAGGCCUUCGGGUUGUAAACUGCUUUUGUACGGAACGAAACGGUCUGCUUUAACACAGUGGCUAAUGACGGUACCGUAAGAAUAAGACACGGCUAACUACGUGCCAGCAGCCGCGGUAAUC